This 1706-nucleotide long non-coding RNA is filed under the name Mus musculus (house mouse). RNAcentral's name for it is "long non-coding RNA chr8:108867561-108869267". The record is from RNAcentral. Lineage: Eukaryota; Metazoa; Chordata; Mammalia; Rodentia; Muridae.
GCACCCCCUAAGGAUGGAAUGUAUGCAUUAAGUACUUACGUGUACUUCGAACAUGAAUCGCUUUUCUGGGCUGGGAACUUGUAAAUCCUUCUAUUUAUUUUGAAACACAUCACAAAUGGUUGUAGACAGUUGUCGCCCUACUGUGCUGUAGCAAACCAGAGUUAGUUCCUCCGCCCACCAUAUGUGGCUGCCCGGCAUCUAGGCUCCCUCUGCUCAUUAAGCUUCUGUCCUGCUCUGCGUCAAGGCUGAGGCAGGGGAUCCUAUUUGCCUGUUCUUGCUCCUCUCACAAAAACCCACAGCUGUGGAGACCCAAGCCUGGAGGUCAGGCUCCGUUGUCCUGCAAACCCUGGCAUUGUCUUCUAGACAGCCAUGCUGGUUUGGAGUCUGGAGAAUCAGCCAGGAAGGAGAACAUAGCUCAGGUCUUCCCUUCCUCGUUGGCUAACACCCAACAAAUAUGGGAUGUUGGUGCCCAGGGGUGGAGACUGGACCCGGAACUGUUCUAGAUAAGGAGCUAAGAAAGGCCUCUAGUGGGAGGCGACAGUAGGGGCUGCACGGAAGGGGAGGAUCCUGCCUCAGGGGGAGGUUGGCCUGGAGGAACAGAAAAGCAGGCUGGGGAGUGGGGAUGUGGCAGGACACUGGGCUCCAGGCAGGGCAUUGGAGUAAGGUUGGGUUGGCUGGCCUGGUUCCAGUCAAGAUGUGAACACACCAGAAAGCAGAACAGUUACUGCUGUUGAGGUUCAGGGAGACAAGUGACCUGUGUCUGUAAGUCCGGGUGGGGGUCAUGUCCCUCCUGACUUCCCUCCCCCAAAGCCUCCCUGGAAAAGGAGCUAAGAUAUGGGUGAGGAUGGAGGCCACAGAGCGCCAGAUCUCCCGGAACCUGGAGCAGAGCGCAGCUGCAAGGGCAAAGGGUCUCGUGUCAAGUCCACACACAGUCGUGUGGGGCUGGCUCUCUCUGCUGCAGGCCGGGGCUCAGCAUCACCGCCCUUACCCCACCCCAAAAGACAAAAAUCCCUGCUGGAAUUCCCACCGCCUAAGCAUGGAGCACGGGGAAGACUUCUAUCUUUGGCCUUACAGAUAAAUCAUCUGCCUCAGUGCAAACCUGGGUCCUGACAACUCAGGACAGCCCUUGGCUACCAUAUGCUGAGAAAGACCUCCCGAGCCAGCUGCCCCUCUGGCGGGCACCCAUGUCAGACAGAACAUCCUGUGAUCUGCAGCUUCAUUCCUGUUUUCUGGGGUGGGAUUUCAUGUCACUGAUGCUGCAAUCCUAAAGCAGGCAGUGUUUUUUAAACAUUUCACCCUCUUAGUGUCUCCAGGGCCACGUGACCAGAGGUGGCCAUCACAUCUGGAUGCCUGAUAAACCACCUCUGACUUCCAUGUUGGGGGCCCUGCCUGUGACAGGCAGCCACUUCAUUCCUUGGUGGCUAUGUGCCCAGACCUCGGGCAGAUCUGAAGACUUCCUUGGAACACAUAAGACCAGAGAGCUUUGUGCCAUACUCUGCUGUUUUCUCUGGCCCUUUCCUUAAUCAAGAAUGUAGACUGGGAUUUUGGAGGUCUAGGUUUUUGGGUUUACUGGGGGGAGCUAUGUCUUCUAGUCACUUGUUUAAGGUUCUUUUGAGAGAAGGAUGCUGGCACCCCUCCUGGAUAUCUGGAAAGAAUGUUUCCACCACACCUGUCUGCCUUGUGUGAGGACAAAUUUAAUAUAUUUC